GUGCUGGCUUUGGUAACACAUAUUCUAAAAUUGGAGUAAUACAGAGAAGAUUAGCAUGGCCUCUGUGCAAGGAUGAUACAAAAAUUUGAAACUUUUUUUUUUUUUUU
This is a small nuclear RNA of Meriones unguiculatus (Mongolian gerbil), 107 nucleotides long. The record is from Ensembl. NCBI's taxonomy places the organism in Eukaryota, Metazoa, Chordata, Mammalia, Rodentia, Muridae.